This 228-nucleotide ribosomal RNA is filed under the name uncultured bacterium. RNAcentral's name for it is "partial 16S ribosomal RNA". It matches the Rfam family "Bacterial small subunit ribosomal RNA", at positions 103 to 334 of the family's 1533-position model. The record is from RNAcentral.
CGGGUGAGUAAUGUAUGGGGAUCUGCCUGAUGGCGGGGGAUAACUACUGGAAACGGUAGCUAAUACCGCAUAAUGUCUACGGACCAAAGAGGGGGACCUUAGGGCCUCUUGCCAUCGGAUGUGCCCAGAUGGGAUUAGCUAGUAGGUGGGGUAAUGGCUCACCUAGGCGACGAUCCCUAGCUGGUCUGAGAGGAUGACCAGCCACACUGGAACUGAGACACGGUCCAG